This is a small nucleolar RNA of Amblyraja radiata (thorny skate), 69 nucleotides long. RefSeq annotates it as small nucleolar RNA SNORD50. The transcript has a single exon. The record is from RefSeq and is a predicted model, not a curated record. NCBI's taxonomy places the organism in Eukaryota, Metazoa, Chordata, Chondrichthyes, Rajiformes, Rajidae.
UAUCAAUGACGACAAAUAUUCCGAACCUGACUGUUUGAUGAAAAACCACACGGAUCUGACUACUGAGAU